AGUCCCUAGGGCGGGUUGCCUGCCCUGGCUGAACUGGAUUAAAUCUGUGCUCUAGUGGGUGUGGCAGAACCCUGGGCUAACAGCCCAAGGGAUGCACCUCAAUGGCCCCCACCUGUGUCUGUAUCAGCAUGCCUGGACCAGCUCAGAGCAACGGCCCCCACCAAUGUCUCAGUCUCCGGAGAGGAUCCUCCUCUCACCAAGAUGCCCCCAGAGCCCACUAGGUCUAAAAUAAAUUGAAGGAAAAGUAAGGCCUCCAUGAUCAUCACGUGUAAUGAACAUGCGAAGCAAUAAAGCUAUUAAUGGAAGAAGUGUGGAGAAUAGAGAAAACUAUAGAGAUGGCAUCUUGUGAGAGAAAACAAAGCAACAAGUCAAGAGAAAUUUCCCCUUAGUAGACAAGUCUUAAAUGAAGAUUACUUUUCCUUGAUGUCUUCAUUAUUUUAAAGCAGCAAUACUUCUAGAGUAUUUAUAAAAUGUUGCUAAAAUUGGUAUCCCUCUUCUAAGAUAUCUCAACUCCUUGAGAUAGCUGAUCUUUGCUACCACCUCUCAACAAAUUGUUCAACUGGUUUUACAAGAGCAUCAGCAAGAGUCCUCCAGACACUAUUUUUUUAGACCCGUUUUGACUCCUCAGGAUGUUUCUGAUCACCUCUGAAUUGUUCAGGAACCAAUGAUAUUUACCUUGAAUAAAAGAAGAGACUGACUAUUUGAACUUUAUCAGAACCCACUACUACAAAAACGCAGGGAGUUUUGAGACCUCUUCCCAACCCCCUUCACCACACACAUAUUUUUGUGUUCCAGGAAAUUCCUACAGGCUCAUCAACUAACCAGCUAACUGCAAGGAUUAUCCUGCCCUGGAAUAUUACCAGGAAGGUCCACCUCCACCCUUCCUCAAUAAUUCAGAGAAGACCUGUCUCCAGGUUUCCUCAAGAUUCCUUUGUAUAUUUGUCUCUAUAAAUCCUCAGUCCCCUUUCCUUUUCUUUGAGUUGCUUCUUAUUAAUGAACAUUAUCCUCAUUGUGACAGCCUGAAUAAAAU
RNAcentral lists this long non-coding RNA (1030 nucleotides) under Equus caballus (horse). Its description in RNAcentral is "lncRNA (ENSECAG00000049070.1)". The record is from RNAcentral. Lineage: Eukaryota; Metazoa; Chordata; Mammalia; Perissodactyla; Equidae.